GACGAACGCUGGCGGCGUGCUUAACACAUGCAAGUCGAGCGGUAAGGCCCUUUCGGGGGUACACGAGCGGCGAACGGGUGAGUAACACGUGGGUGACCCGCCCUUAGCUCUGGGAUAAGCCUGGGAAACUGGGUCUAAUACCGGAUAUGACUCCAUGACGCAUGUUGUGGGGUGGAAAGCCUUGUGCGGCUAGGGAUGGGCCCGCGGCCUAUCAGCUUGUUGGUGGGGUGAUGGCCUACCAAGGCGACGACGGGUAGCCGGCCUGAGAGGGCGACCGGCCACACUGGGACUGAGACACGGCCCAGACUCCUACGGGAGGCAGCAGUGGGGAAUCUUGCGCAAUGGGCGAAAGCCUGACGCAGCGACGCCGCGUGAGGGAUGACGGCCUCGGUUGUAAC
Molecule: ribosomal RNA, 398 nt
Filed under: uncultured bacterium
Lineage: Bacteria
Description: bacterial SSU rRNA
Rfam family: Bacterial small subunit ribosomal RNA
Source: RNAcentral